Molecule: ribosomal RNA, 502 nt
Filed under: uncultured bacterium
Lineage: Bacteria
Description: bacterial SSU rRNA
Rfam family: Bacterial small subunit ribosomal RNA
Source: RNAcentral
AAUCAACGCUGGCGGCGUGCCUAACACAUGCAAGUCGAACGGGAAGGGGGGCUUCGGCUCUCCGGAGAGUGGCGCACGGGUGAGUAACACGUGGGUAAUCUGCCUUUGGGUGGGGAAUAACGAUUCGAAAGGGUCGCUAAUACCGCAUAACGCAGCGGCACCGCAUGGUGACAGUUGUUAAAGCGGGGGAUCGAAAGACCUCGCGCCUGAAGAGGAGCCCGCGCCCGAUUAGCUUGUUGGUGAGGUAAUGGCUCACCAAGGCUUCGAUCGGUAGCCGGCCUGAGAGGGCGGUCGGCCACACUGGCACUGAGACACGGGCCAGACUCCUACGGGAGGCAGCAGUGGGGAAUUUUGGGCAAUGGGCGAAAGCCUGACCCAGCAACGCCGCGUGAAGGACGAAAUCCCUCUGGGAUGUAAACUUCGAAAGUCAGGAAAGAAAUCGAGGGGGUUAAUAACCCUUUUGGAUGACGGUACCUGACGUAAGCCCCGGCUAACUACGUGC